GCUGCUGCUGCUGCUGCUGCGACGCCGAGGACGAACCGGCGGUCAGGCCGUCCAGCACCUUCCUGAUGUUGAAUUUCCUCAUGGUCUCGGAGGGGCUCCUCCGCAGCCCGGGAGGGGAGGCACAGGGGGUCCCCGGGCGGGGGAGACCACCCGGGGCCGAGGGCAGCUUCGACCGCGGAAACGGAGGAGUGGGAGUGUGAGGAGAAAUAUGCAAUGAUGACAUUUCCAAGAAGUGAUGGCAUCUGGCACUAAGGACAAAGAAUGGGAUUUUGCCACAGGGAUCUUAUUCUCCCACAUGUUCUGUCUGAAGGAGAAAGUUAUCUGAGGCCUUAUAUGAUGCAAAACUUUGGCCUCAAAGAAAUUAAAUCCCUUGUCCAAGGUUACAUAGCUGCCACCCAGGAGUUUACAAUUUUUGUGAGGAAACAGAUUGUAUACAUAUACAGAUAAUUAAAAAUAUGUAUGCCCCUGGCAAACACCAUUCUACUUUCUGUCUCUAUGAAUUUGACUACUCGAAGUACCUCAUGUGAAAUGUUGGUGCCAAAUGAACUUUUCUGGUUCUUCUGAAUAUGCCACUGUUGCUGCAGAAAUGUCACUGCUAGAGAAUAGAAGACUAUUAUUACAAAAGGUAUUUGAGACUGACUGAAUCAGGUCUGGAACAUUAUUGAAAUGAGACCCACAAAGGAAGAGAUACUGAGGUGGUGACCAGAUAGAUAUAAACGGGCUGUGGAAAAAGAGAAUGCAUGGCCAAAAACGGUGGUGCUCUCUGUCCAAAAACUAAGGCCCUAUGACCAUGAAUGAAGCCAGAGGGCAGGUAGGAACAGAUCAUUUGCUCCAGGAGAAGCUGGUUGCCAUGUCUUGAGGACAGUAAACUCUCUGGGGAGGUUCCUGUGGUAAGGAACCAGGGCUCCUGGUAAUAGCCUCUGAGUGAGCCACCUUGAGAAUGGAUUGUCCAGCCCCAGUCAAGCUUUCAGAUGACUGUAGCCCCUGCCAGUGUCUUCACCACAAUCUCAUGAGAUCCCAAGCUACAACCACUCAGUUAAGUUAUUCCAAAAUUCCUGACUCACAGAAAUUGAGAUACAGAAGAGGUCACAGUUAAGAUCUUGAUGUUCUAUCUUGACCCAUAAUAUAGGAACUUCACCUUUUCAGAAGCACCAGGGAGAGCUGCCUGUGCCUGGCAGAAGCUGCCCAUGCCCCACUGAUAACCCUACAGUACUUCCUGUUCUGCUCAGUACUCCUGCUUCUUUCUACAAACAACUGUGAUUCUCCACCUGGGAGCUUCCUCUGGCCGCAGGAGCCUGCUCACCUGAUUGGGACACUCCAGCAGUACUGGCUCAUAGGUGGAAAGGACUUGCCUUGUCGCUGAUGAGACUUUGGACUUGGACUUUUGAGUCAAUGCUGGAAUGAGUUAAGACUUUGGGGGACUGUUGGAAGGGCAUGAUUGUGUUUUGAAUUGUGAGGACAUGAGAUUUGGAAGAGGCUAAGGGCAGUGUCCCCACCUAAAUCUCAUCUUGAAUUGUAGUUCCCAUAAUCACCACGUGUCAUGGGGUGGAGCCGGUGGAGAUAAUCGAAUCAUGGGAACACUUUCCCCCAUGCUGUUAUUGUGAUUGUGAGUUAUCACGAGAUCUGAUGGUUUUAUAAAGGCCUUCCCUCUUCACUGGGCACUCAUUUUCUCCUUCCUGCCACCAUGUGAAGAAGGACAUGCUUGCUUCUCCUUCUGCCAUGAUUGUAAGUUUCCUGAGGCCUCCCCAGCCAUGCUGAACUGUGAGUCAAUUGAACCUCUUUCCUUUAUAAAUUACCUAGUCUUAGAUAUGUCUUUAUUAGCAGUGUGAGAUAGGACUAAUACACAAAGGAUUUGAAAUCACAAAGGAGCUGUUUUCUGCUCCACCACGGAAGUCUCACAUGCAUCACAUCUAUUCACAUCCAUUUGCCACAACUAGACAAAAAGUCCUUUUCUUAAUCUGCCUAGAGAUCAAGAAGUAUUAUCUCUGGAUGCCUAGGCAGGAGAGGUGAAUCAGAUAUUGGUGGGCACUAGUGUGUUCUAUGAUACAUACCUUAAUAAAAAUAAGUUUCAGAUAAAUCUAAAUAUACAUUAGAAUACUGUAACCACAGUAGAAAAAAAUAUUGGCUCCUUUUUGUGAUAAACUAAUGAUGGUAAUUGCACCCUAUUUAAGCAAGAAAAGAAACUGAUCUGCCAUAAAGAAAGCAAUGAUGUAUUUAACUACAAAUAUGUUACAAAAUAUUAAUAUCCAUAAUGGACAAAUGAGUUCCAAUAAAUGGAUAACAAAAAACCAAUAAGCCUGUAGAAAAAUGGAGAAAAUAUAUUUGCAGAAUAUUUAUACAAGUGGUAAUGAAAUUGACAAUGAUGUUUAUCAUCAGCAGUAAACAGUAAAAAGUUUCACCCACCAGGACUACAGAAAUUUUUCAAAUGGAUAAUUUUCAGAAUCAGCAAAGUUAUAGAAAAGUAGGUACCAGUUGCACAUACCAUUGAAGGAAAUGUAAAAUGUAGUUACCUUGUGGAAAGUAAUCUGAUAUAAUAUCUUAAAAUUUUAUCCAUGUAUGUCCUAUAAUUCAGCAAUUCCAUGUUGGGGAAUCCAUACAAAGAAAUACUUAUACACAUGCAGAAGGAGCUAAGUUUAAGAAAGCACACAUUUCAGCGGGUUGUGGUGUCUCACCCCUGUAAUCCCAGCACAUUGGGAGGCCGAGGUUGCUGGAUCACCUGAGGUCAGGAGUUUGAGACCAGCCUGGCCAACAUGGUGAAACUCUGUCUCUGCUAAAAAUACAAAAAAUUAGCUGGUGUGGCAGUGGGUGCCUCCAGCUACUCAGGAGGCUGAGGCAGGAGAAUCGCUUGAACCCGGGAGGUGGAGGUUGCAGUGAGCCGAGAUCACACCACUGCACUCCAGCCUGGGUGACAAGAGCGAAA
This 2920-nucleotide non-coding RNA is filed under the name Pongo abelii (Sumatran orangutan). Lineage: Eukaryota; Metazoa; Chordata; Mammalia; Primates; Hominidae. The record is from RNAcentral.